AUCGAACGCUGGCGGCAGGCCUAACACAUGCAAGUCGAGCGGAGCGGCGGACGGGCGAGUAAUGAUUAGGCAACUGCCUGGUAGUGGGGGAUACAGCACGGACACGGGCGGUAAUACAGCACCCUAUCAGAUGUGCCUAGGUCGGAUCAGCUCGUUGGUGGGGUAAAGGCCUACCAAGGCGACGAUCCGUAACUAGUCUGCGAGGAUGAUCAGUCACACUGGAACGUAGACACGGUCCAGACUCCUACGGAAGGCAGCAGUAGGGAAUAUUGGACAAUGGGCGAAAGCCUGAUCCAGCCAUGCCGCGUGUGUGAAGAAGGUCUUCGGAUUGUAAAGCACUUUAAGUUGAGAGGCGUUACCAACAGAAUAAGCACCGGCUAACUUCGUGCCAGCAGCCGCGGUAAUAC
RNAcentral lists this ribosomal RNA (407 nucleotides) under uncultured bacterium. RNAcentral describes it as "partial 16S ribosomal RNA". It matches the Rfam family "Bacterial small subunit ribosomal RNA", at positions 30 to 526 of the family's 1533-position model. The record is from RNAcentral.